RNAcentral lists this ribosomal RNA (544 nucleotides) under Klebsiella quasivariicola. Its description in RNAcentral is "SSU rRNA". It matches the Rfam family "Eukaryotic small subunit ribosomal RNA", at positions 1148 to 1711 of the family's 1831-position model. Lineage: Bacteria; Pseudomonadati; Pseudomonadota; Gammaproteobacteria; Enterobacterales; Enterobacteriaceae. The record is from RNAcentral.
AGGAAUUGACGGAAGGGCACCACCAGGAGUGGAGCCUGCGGCUUAAUUUGACCCAACACGGGAAAGCUCACCCGGCCCGGACACGGACAGGAUUGACAGAUUGAUAGCUCUUUCUCGAUUCCGUGGGUGGUGGUGCAUGGCCGUUCUUAGUUGGUGGAGCGAUUUGUCUGGUUAAUUCCGAUAACGAACGAGACUCUGGCAUGCUAACUAGUUACGCGACCCCCGAGCGGUCGGCGUCCAACUUCUUAGAGGGACAAGUGGCGUUCAGCCACCCGAGAUUGAGCAAUAACAGGUCUGUGAUGCCCUUAGAUGUCCGGGGCUGCACGCGCGCUACACUGACUGGCUCAGCGUGUGCCUACCCUACGCCGGCAGGCGCGGGUAACCCGUUGAACCCCAUUCGUGAUGGGGAUCGGGGAUUGCAAUUAUUCCCCAUGAACGAGGAAUUCCCAGUAAGUGCGGGUCAUAAGCUUGCGUUGAUUAAGUCCCUGCCCUUUGUACACACCGCCCGUCGCUACUACCGAUUGGAUGGUUUAGUGAGGCCCUC